This 224-nucleotide long non-coding RNA is filed under the name Elaeis guineensis (African oil palm). RNAcentral's name for it is "long non-coding RNA (EGUI_LNC079748)". The record is from RNAcentral. Lineage: Eukaryota; Viridiplantae; Streptophyta; Magnoliopsida; Arecales; Arecaceae.
CCUGGGGUUCGGGAAGUGAGAAGGUGAGCUACGAGUGUCGUGAGCCCACCAAAUUUGAGAGAGAUCUUCAAUAUUCUCUCAAGCAUGUUUGUUGAUGAUCCAGAGCAUUCAAAGAAUCGACAGACACAAAUUGAAGGAGUUUGAUCAGCAUCAGCCGUCAAAAAUACUCUACAACGAGCUAGCACUCGUGAGGAGCCGAUCAGACCGGGAGCCUCGUAUGGAUG